UCUUGGAAAAGACUCUUGGGACUAGCAGUGGAAUCCUUGCUAUUGAUUGGCUGGUUAAAUAGAGGACUAUUAGCUUCAGACAGGCUAGAUUGAUUGUAAGGCAGCAGCAGGAGCUGAGACUCAGAGCUGAGUGAGCGUCAGGGUGAAAAGGAGAGAGAGAGGGGAACGCGAGGUGGAGAGGGAGGCAGUGCACGUUCGUUCCCUAGCAUCGCUCUGUGACUGCCGGUGCUGAAUAUCUUGCUCCGUAGCUGCCCCAGUCAACAACUUACUGAGGUGCCUUUUCUUUUACAAGAGGAUGUCUGCUUUGAGCCCCAGCAAGAAAUAGCAGACUUCACCUUGGAAUAGUUCGUCUCACUCCUGCGUCAUUAAAGAGGAUCUUGAAAAGGAAACAAAAAUCAAGUCUCCCUUCCAGCCCCACUUUGUUCCAGAAUUGAACAGAAACAGUUUUGUGCUCCAGGAAACCUCCAAACCGUCGUCCAAACUGGCUUUGCCAUUCUGCAUUCCCGUCAGCAAUGAGUGAGCAUUCUUGUUGCUCUACCCCCUCACCAGCAUUUGUAUUUUCAGUGCUCUGCUCUUUGGCCUUUCUAAUAGCCCUGAGCUAACAUCUGUCACCAAUCCUCCUCUGUUUUACUGAGGGAGACUGGUCCUGAGCUAAUAUCUGUGCCCAGCUUCCUCUACUUUGUAUGUGGGAUGCCUGCCACAGCAUGGCUUCACAAAUGGUGCAUAAGUCUGCAACUGGGAUCCAAACUGGUGAAGCCCAAGCCGCCAAAGUGGAAUGUGUGAACUUAACCACUGUGCCAAAAGGCUGGCCCAAAAUUUUCUUCAUUUUGAAUGGUGUAUACUACAUUGCUACAUUACUUUAAUAUCAGUGUUGAAAAAUUACCAGUUAUACUUGCUGUUUAUGAUCUAUUUGGACAGUAAGAUAUAUAUUUUACAUAUAUUAUAUAUAUAUAUAUAUUUUUAUCUGUCUUUGCCCUAAAUUGAAUUGUAAAUGUGUCAGAUCUUCCACUAAGUGGUCAUCCUGUCUUUUCAUUGAAUAGCUCAAGUUAUUGGAAGCUGAAUAAAACGUGUCUGAUUGUUAUAAAGUUACUCAUAUCAAGCCAGAGUAUGUGUCUCUGUAAUUUUCAUUCCUUGGUCUUACAGUUUUCCCUGGGUCCAUGCAGCAAGUGUCUCAUGGUUCUACAUGUGAUUUCCUCUUUUGUUUGAGCUAUGUUCAUGUUAAACUUCACCAUCCUGGUCACUCCCCUUUCAACGUUUUUCCCUAUGGUGCCAUUAAAAUAUGAUAACUAGAACUGAAUACAAUGGUCCAGAUUUGGACUUAUCCAUGAAGGAUAAAGGAUGUAGCAUCUCCCUAAUUUGAAACACAACACUUUUGCUAAUGAAGACAUAUACUGAUUUUUUUUGUGGCUACAAAGCAAUUUAUUGAAUUUAAUGACAAUGAAAAUCUCUGAGUUUCUUUUACAUAUGUUGCUCCUAAAGUAUAUCUCCACCAUCAUGUUUUUAUAUAACUAUCAUGAUAGAAAAUUCUCAUUCUUAUUUUCUUUAGUCUCGGAUUUUGUUGUCCAAUCUCUUGAUGCAAUUAAUUGUUUAGCUUACAUUGUUUUGGAUUUCUUCACAUCCAAACUCCAAUCUAUGUUAUUUUUAUAUUUUCUAUAAAAUGUUAUUUUAUUUUCUCUAUAAAAUUAUGUGUGAAGCAAAAAAACCUAAUAAAAUAUUUCUCAUGAAACUGAUAA
Molecule: long non-coding RNA, 1733 nt
Filed under: Equus asinus (donkey)
Lineage: Eukaryota; Metazoa; Chordata; Mammalia; Perissodactyla; Equidae
Description: lncRNA (ENSEASG00005028842.1)
Source: RNAcentral